RNAcentral lists this non-coding RNA (116 nucleotides) under unclassified sequences. Its description in RNAcentral is "DUF3800-I RNA". It matches the Rfam family "DUF3800-I RNA". Rfam says of the family: Actinobacteria, Firmicutes, Fusobacteria, Proteobacteria (1 example), Tenericutes (2 examples). The record is from Rfam by way of RNAcentral.
UAUAAAUACAGAUGGUAGUGUGCUGUACUGUGUACAACAAGGGAAUGAAUUAUAUGAUUUAAGCGUAAUGUAAGUACGUCAUCUUGUUGGUCAUCUUUUAGGUGAUUUGUAUUAUA